GAUGAACGCUGGCGGCGUGCUUAACACAUGCAAGUCGAACGGAAAGGCCCCUGCUUGCUGGGGUACUCGAGUGGCGAACGGGUGAGUAACACGUGGGUGAUCUGCCCUGCACUUCGGGAUAAGCCUGGGAAACUGGGUCUAAUACCGGAUAGGACGAUGGUUUGGAUGCCAUUGUGGAAAGUUUUUGCGGUGUGGGAUGAGCUCGCGGCCUAUCAGCUUGUUGGUGGGGUAAUGGCCUACCAAGGCGUUGACGGGUAGCCGGCCUGAGAGGGUGUACGGCCACAUUGGGACUGAGAUACGGCCCAGACUCCUACGGGAGGCAGCAGUGGGGAAUAUUGCACAAUGGGCGCAAGCCUGAUGCAGCGACGCCGCGUGGGGGAUGACGGCCUUCGGGUUGUAAACUCCUUUCGCUAGGGACGAAGCGCAAGUGACGGUACCUGGAGAAGAAGCACCGGCUAACUACGUG
RNAcentral lists this ribosomal RNA (466 nucleotides) under uncultured bacterium. RNAcentral's name for it is "partial 16S ribosomal RNA". It matches the Rfam family "Bacterial small subunit ribosomal RNA", at positions 28 to 507 of the family's 1533-position model. The record is from RNAcentral.